RNAcentral lists this transfer RNA (73 nucleotides) under Camelus bactrianus (Bactrian camel). It matches the Rfam family "tRNA". Rfam says of the family: Transfer RNA (tRNA) molecules are approximately 80 nucleotides in length. Their secondary structure includes four short double-helical elements and three loops (D, anti-codon, and T loops). Further hydrogen bonds mediate the characteristic L-shaped molecular structure. tRNAs have two regions of fundamental functional importance: the anti-codon, which is responsible for specific mRNA codon recognition, and the 3' end, to which the tRNAs corresponding amino acid is attached (by aminoacyl-tRNA synthetases). tRNAs cope with the degeneracy of the genetic code in two manners: having more than one tRNA (with a specific anti-codon) for a particular amino acid; and 'wobble' base-pairing, i.e. permitting non-standard base-pairing at the 3rd anti-codon position. Lineage: Eukaryota; Metazoa; Chordata; Mammalia; Artiodactyla; Camelidae. RNAcentral also lists the same sequence under 2 other names. The record is from Rfam by way of RNAcentral.
GAUGUUAUAGCUCAAUGGUUAGAGUACAUGCUUAUCAUUCAUGAGGUUCUGGGUUCAAUCCCCAGUACCUCCA